This 495-nucleotide ribosomal RNA is filed under the name uncultured bacterium. RNAcentral's name for it is "partial 16S ribosomal RNA". It matches the Rfam family "Bacterial small subunit ribosomal RNA", at positions 28 to 507 of the family's 1533-position model. The record is from RNAcentral.
GACGAACGCUGGCGGCGUGCCUAAUACAUGCAAGUAGAACGCUGAAGGAGGAGCUUGCUCUUCUGGAUGAGUUGCGAACGGGUGAGUAACGCGUAGGUAACCUGCCUGGUAGCGCGGGAUAACUAUUGGAAACGAUAGCUAAUACCGCAUAACAGUAGAUGUUGCAUGACAUUUGCUUAAAAGGUGCAAUUGCACCACUACCAGAUGGACCUGCGUUGUAUUAGCUAGUUGGUGGGGUAACGGCUCACCAAGGCGACGAUACAUAGCCGACCUGAGAGGGUGAUCGGCCACACUGGGACUGAGACACGGCCCAGACUCCUACGGGAGGCAGCAGUAGGGAAUCUUCGGCAAUGGACGGAAGUCUGACCGAGCAACGCCGCGUGAGUGAAGAAGGUUUUCGGAUCGUAAAGCUCUGUUGUAAGAGAAGAACGAGUGUGAGAGUGGAAAGUUCACACUGUGACGGUAUCUUACCAGAAAGGGACGGCUAACUACGUG